CUCACUUUGCCACAUACCAAAAUGGCCCGUGCCAUCAAAGAUCUCCACGGCCAGUCUUGCAUUUGUAAUUGUCGGUCUUGUCCACAUGGACGAUGUUGAAGCUCCUACACCGACCGUUUUCUCCAUAAUCUUUCAAUAUACCUAAGGAAAUCUUUUCUGAUGUGGAAGAUCAGUUCAAACUGCAACCACAGAGCAUACUACGAUUAACCUUCGGCUCUGAUACCACUUGUUGUUCCAAUAGGGUCGGAAGCGUGUAAAUUAUUGUACUAAAAAAUCACACAAAGUUCAAUUCCCAGGGAAGAGAGGUGGAUCACAUGGAUCUCUUAAAUACCAAGUCUUUCCUUAGUCAGAAUAUCCCUUCUAUAGUAAU
Molecule: long non-coding RNA, 370 nt
Filed under: Gossypium barbadense (sea-island cotton)
Lineage: Eukaryota; Viridiplantae; Streptophyta; Magnoliopsida; Malvales; Malvaceae
Description: long non-coding RNA (GBAR_LNC006583)
Source: RNAcentral